Molecule: ribosomal RNA, 207 nt
Filed under: uncultured bacterium
Lineage: Bacteria
Description: partial 16S ribosomal RNA
Rfam family: Bacterial small subunit ribosomal RNA
Source: RNAcentral
GACAGAGGGUGCAAACGUUUGUUCGGAAUUACUGGGCGUAAAGCGCGUGUAGGCGGCCCUGCAAGUCGGAUGUGAAAUCCCACGGCUCAACCGUGGAAGUGCAUUCGAAACUGCAGGGCUAGAGUCCUGGAGAGGAAGGUGGAAUGCUUGGUGUAGAGGUGAAAUUCGUAGAUAUCAAGCGGAACACCGGUGGCGAAGGCGGCCUUC